Parelaphostrongylus tenuis is the source of this 71-nucleotide non-coding RNA. The record is from the annotation of a GenBank genome assembly. NCBI's taxonomy places the organism in Eukaryota, Metazoa, Nematoda, Chromadorea, Rhabditida, Metastrongylidae.
UCCCUGAUGGUCCAGUGGCUAAGACUGCACUCCCAAUGCAGAGGGCCUCAGUUAAAUCCCUGGUUGGGGAG